CCCCGUAGCUCAGUUGGUAGAGCAUGGUGUUUGCAACGCCAGGGUUGUGGGUUCGUUUCCCACGGGGG
Non-coding RNA from Salmo salar (Atlantic salmon), 68 nucleotides. NCBI's taxonomy places the organism in Eukaryota, Metazoa, Chordata, Actinopteri, Salmoniformes, Salmonidae. The record is from Rfam.